AGCAUCUCUGGGUCUCUGGCUCCUGGGUCUGCUGUCUUGGGAUAGGCUUUCGCCACUCGACUCUUUCUCUUGUCCACACAACUUUCCCCUCACCCCGAUCCUCUGUCGUCUUCUUUGUUUUUAAGUCCCUGUCUUCUGCCAGAAGGGCCGUCUGUGUAAUUCUGCGCCCUCUGUUUUCAGUUGGUGCGGAGAGGACCUGCCAGACUCGCGCAGUCAGGAUCAGCAUUUAGGACCUUCCGCUCUCGCUUGAGGAAAAUGCUUUUCUCUCUCCAUUUCUCAGUCCAGAUCUUGCAGUCGGUCUUUUCUCUCCUGUUAGUGGAUGUUCUCCUGCAGUUUUUAGUUCUCAGCACUUUUUUUUUUUUUUUUGGAGGAAGAUUAGCCCUCAGCUAACUACUGCCAGUCCUCCUCUUUUUGCUGAGGAAGCCUGGCUCUGAGCUAACAUCCGUGCCCAUCUUCCUCUAGUUUAUACGUGGGACGCCUACCACAGCAUGGCUGCCAAGCAGUGCCAUGUCCGUACCCGGGAUCCGAACCAGCGAACCCCGGGCCGCCGAGAAGCGGAACGUGCGAACUUAACCGCUGCGCCAUCGGGCCGGCCCCAGUUCUCAGCACUUUUGAAGAACGGUUCAGGUUCUGGCUGGAAUGAGUGGGUACAGAGAGCUGGGGCAGCCGGGUGCUUGGGCCAGGCGAGGAUUGGAUCCGGAGUGGCUUCCUCGCUGGUCUCUGAGGUGCUGAAUCGACCCAAGGGAGCCUGGCUUUGCAGUUGGAGGAGAUUGGUUUUGAGAGGAAAUCUGCUCUUGUUACCCAUGACAACUGAGACCAACAUAAAUAAUUCGUAUGAUCAAGUAAGUUCCAGAACCGGUGUACAGGUAGAAGUCCGCACCCAGCCCCAGUUGUCCAGCCCAGCCCUGGAAGCUGCUGACUCUAGAUCAGAGGUACUCAAACCGAGGUGGAGCGUCUCUUUGGCAAUAUUGUGACUGGAGAUAAACGGCCAGACUAGAAGCUGUUUGAAAGGUGUCUUCAGGCCCCCCAGCUCAAUGAAUCAGCGCUUCCAUCCUGUGUCCCGUGGGACGCCAAACACGCUCCACCCCCUGCUGAUUCUUUUCAGUUAAGUGAAUAACAACUUCGGUGUUCAUUGUCGAAGGGCUAUGCAGUGGCGUGACUUGCCUUAUUAAACUCUUUGAGCACACCAAUCCAUAAGACAUUUCUUUUUUUUCCUUUGCCAAAGGGAACUUUGACAACUCCAUUCCAGGGCACGAAAGCAAAACUGAGCAGUCCUGUGUCUUCCUGCCCCGUCAGCGACAGGUUUGGAUAAGACCAGUCUCAAGGACCUGGUGGGUUUUGCCCCUUUGUCUUUCUCAAGGCUACAUUGUGGAUAUAAUAUUCCUGGUCUGUCACAUAAAUGCCUUUUCAUCUCUCCCCUUUCAAAGUCCAGUUUCCCCCAACUCACCAAGUGGUUGCGGUGCAGCUGUCUCCCACAUUGUUUGGGAUGUUUUUACUUUCCUUGAUUAUGUGUCUGUUAGACCUGGUGCGGCUGAUUUAGUAACCAGACCUACGACACUGGCAACCGGAUUUGUCUGACGGUCAGUCAAUGACAGUGCACUCAGUGAGACCGUCCAAAUAUUUCCAUUUUUCUAGACCCUGCAUUUGGAAUGAAGCUGUCCUUUAAACUCCCCACCAUGAAGUGACCUUCUACUCCCUGAGCUCCUCUGGCUUCCUGGUACAGAGGCGUUGGACAGCCUCCUUUCUCCGCCGCAGCACACUCACCGUUGCAGCUCUGAGAACUGGAGUCUCUCUCACGGUUUUCAAUGGGACCAAUUCAGCGGGGACACAAAUACCCCUCAUGGGAGACAUAUUGGUAUCUCUGGAGGGGUGUGUGCAUGGUGAAAAAUAUAUUCAGUAUAAUUAUUUUUCCACAAUAUAAACUGCAAGACAGAGAGGCUAGAUUCCCUUAGCCUGAGAGGGAAUCAUGGAUAACAGAAAAUAGAGGGAAUAUUCUAUGGGCCUGAGUUAAACACAGGGUGACUGCACGUCCCGG
This 2035-nucleotide long non-coding RNA is filed under the name Equus caballus (horse). RNAcentral's name for it is "lncRNA (ENSECAG00000042042.2)". Lineage: Eukaryota; Metazoa; Chordata; Mammalia; Perissodactyla; Equidae. The record is from RNAcentral.